RNAcentral lists this ribosomal RNA (729 nucleotides) under uncultured eukaryote. Its description in RNAcentral is "SSU rRNA". It matches the Rfam family "Eukaryotic small subunit ribosomal RNA", at positions 671 to 1426 of the family's 1831-position model. The record is from RNAcentral.
CGCGAGUACUGGUCCGGCUGGGUCUUUCCUUCUGGGGAACCCCAUGGCCUUCACUGGCUGUGGGGGGAACCAGGACUUUUACUGUGAAAAAAUUAGAGUGUUCAAAGCAGGCCUUUGCUCGAAUACAUUAGCAUGGAAUAAUAGAAUAGGACGUGCGGUUCUAUUUUGUUGGUUUCUAGGACCGCCGUAAUGAUUAAUAGGGAUAGUCGGGGGCGUCAGUAUUCAGCUGUCAGAGGUGAAAUUCUUGGAUUUGCUGAAGACUAACUACUGCGAAAGCAUUCGCCAAGGAUGUUUUCAUUAAUCAGGGAACGAAAGUUAGGGGAUCGAAGACGAUCAGAUACCGUCGUAGUCUUAACCAUAAACUAUGCCGACUAGGGAUCGGACGGUGUUUCUAUGAUGACCCGUUCGGCACCUUACGAGAAAUCAAAGUUUUUGGGUUCUGGGGGGAGUAUGGUCGCAAGGCUGAAACUUAAGGAAAUUGACGGAAGGGCACCACAAGGCGUGGAGCCUGCGGCUUAAUUUGACUCAACACGGGGAAACUCACCAGGUCCAGACAAAAUAAGGAUUGACAGAUUGAGAGCUCUUUCUUGAUCUUUUGGAUGGUGGUGCAUGGCCGUUCUUAGUUGGUGGAGUGAUUUGUCUGCUUAAUUGCGAUAACGAACGAGACCUCGGCCCUUAAAUAGCCCGGUCCGCGUCUGCGGGCCGCUGGCUUCUUAGGGGGACUAUCGG